RNAcentral lists this ribosomal RNA (498 nucleotides) under uncultured bacterium. RNAcentral describes it as "partial 16S ribosomal RNA". It matches the Rfam family "Bacterial small subunit ribosomal RNA", at positions 30 to 523 of the family's 1533-position model. The record is from RNAcentral.
AUUGAACGCUGGCGGCAUGCCUUACACAUGCAAGUCGAACGGUAACAGGUCUUCGGAUGCUGACGAGUGGCGAACGGGUGAGUAAUACAUCGGAACGUGCCUAGUAGUGGGGGAUAACUACUCGAAAGAGUGGCUAAUACCGCAUGAGAUCUACGGAUGAAAGCAGGGGAUCGCAAGACCUUGUGCUACUAGAGCGGCCGAUGGCAGAUUAGGUAGUUGGUGGGAUAAAAGCUUACCAAGCCGACGAUCUGUAGCUGGUCUGAGAGGACGAUCAGCCACACUGGGACUGAGACCCGGCCCAGACUCCUACGGGAGGCAGCAGUGGGGAAUUUUGGACAAUGGGCGAAAGACUGAUCCAGCAAUGCCGCGUGCAGGAUGAAGGCCUUCGGGUUGUAAACUGCUUUUGUACGGAACGAAAAGCCCCGGGUUAAUACCCUGGGGUCAUGACGGUACCGUAAGAAUAAGCACCGGCUAACUACGUGCCAGCCGCCGCGGUAA